RNAcentral lists this ribosomal RNA (615 nucleotides) under Papiliotrema laurentii. RNAcentral's name for it is "partial large subunit ribosomal RNA". It matches the Rfam family "Eukaryotic large subunit ribosomal RNA", at positions 54 to 653 of the family's 3401-position model. The record is from RNAcentral. Lineage: Eukaryota; Fungi; Basidiomycota; Tremellomycetes; Tremellales; Rhynchogastremaceae.
AGGAAAAGAAACUAACAAAGGUUCCCCUAGUAACGGCGAGUGAACCGGGAAGAGCUNCAAAUUUNGAAAUNCUGGCGUGCUCAGUGCGUCCGAGUUGUAAUCUAUAGAGUCGUUUUCCGUGCCGGACUGUGUCCAAGUCCCUUGGAACAGGGUAUCAAAGAGGGUGAUAAUCCCGUACUUGACACAAUGACCGGUGCUCUGUGAUACGUCUUCUACGAGUCGAGUUGUUUGGGAAUGCAGCUCAAAAUGGGUGGUGAGUUCCAUCUAAAGCUAAAUAUUGGCGAGAGACCGAUAGCGAACAAGUACCGUGAGGGAAAGAUGAAAAGCACUUUGGAAAGAGAGUUAAACAGUACGUGAAAUUGUUAAAAGGGAAACGAUUGAAGUCAGUCGUGACUGAGAGGCUCAGCCGGUUCUGCCGGUGUAUUCCCCUCAGUCGGGUCAACAUCAGUUUUGUUCGGUGGAUAAGGGCAGUUGGAAGGUGGCACCCUCGGGUGUGUUAUAGCCAGCUGUCGCAUACAUCGGAUGASACUGAGGAANUGCANGCUCGCCUUUAUGGCCGGGGUUCGCCCACGUUCGAGCUUAGGAUGUUGACAAAUGGGCUUUAAACGACCCGUC